UGGGGAAUAUUGCGCAAUGGGCGAAAGCCUGACGCAGCCAUGCCGCGUGUGUGAAGAAGGCCUUCGGGUUGUAAAGCACUUUCACUGGGGAGGAAAGGGUGUUGGUUAAUAGCCAGCACUUUUGACGUUACCUUGAGAAGAAGCACCGGCUAACUCCGUGCCAGCAGCCGCGGUAAUACGGAGGGUGCGAGCGUUAAUCGGAAUUACUGGGCGUAAAGCGCGCGUAGGCGGUUUGUUAAGUCGGAUGUGAAAUCCCCGGGCUCAACCUGGGAAUGGCAUCCGAUACUGGCCGACUGGAGUGCGAGAGAGGGAGGUAGAAUUCCACGUGUAGCGGUGAAAUGCGUAGAUAUGUGGAGGAAUACCGGUGGCGAAGGCGGCCUCCUGGCUCGACACUGACGCUGAGGUGCGAAAGCGUGGGGAGCAAACAGGAUUAGAUACCCGCGUAGUCC
This 449-nucleotide ribosomal RNA is filed under the name uncultured prokaryote. RNAcentral's name for it is "bacterial SSU rRNA". It matches the Rfam family "Bacterial small subunit ribosomal RNA", at positions 355 to 796 of the family's 1533-position model. The record is from RNAcentral.